GGGAUGCAAGUAAUUCCGUGAAUGCAUUGAUUGGAAUGGACUUCUCCCAAUACGAGAAGAGGAGGGUAGAAUCACCUGAUGACAUCAAUUUAGCAGGUGAUUCUGUUGAUGAUUCUAAUUUCUUUGACGAUUACUUCGAGGGCGAAAGUUCUGAGAUGUACGACUAUCAAGUUGAUUGGGGGAUGCCAGAUAGUUCUAGCCCGCUGCACCCAGUUUAUUUUGCUAAGUGCUUGACUAAGGCUGUUCACAAGAAACAUGCUAAGAUGAUGGAUCAUCCAUCAAAUGGCAUUUCAAUUUGGGGACGCCUCAAGCCUGCCUUUCUGGAAGAAGAAUAUUACGUGCGAAGGCUCUUCAGUGGCGAUGAAGUUAGUGACGGCUCCACCUUGGAUUGGAAAGAUGGAGAAAUUUUGAGCUUUAGUUCAAGAUAUGACAAGAGCCGCACUUUGUCUUCUAUCUACAGAUUGGAAAUCAUGAGAGUCGACCUAUUUUCUGUGUAUGGUGCUCAGUUAGCAGUAAAUUUGUAUGACUUCCAUGAUGCUGAGCCUGACAGUCUUGUAUACUCAGCUCCAGC
Molecule: unclassified non-coding RNA, 571 nt
Filed under: Hevea brasiliensis (rubber tree)
Lineage: Eukaryota; Viridiplantae; Streptophyta; Magnoliopsida; Malpighiales; Euphorbiaceae
Source: RNAcentral